This 2923-nucleotide ribosomal RNA is filed under the name Staphylococcus aureus. Its description in RNAcentral is "23S ribosomal RNA". It matches the Rfam family "Bacterial large subunit ribosomal RNA". The record is from RNAcentral. Lineage: Bacteria; Bacillati; Bacillota; Bacilli; Caryophanales; Staphylococcaceae.
GAUUAAGUUAUUAAGGGCGCACGGUGGAUGCCUUGGCACUAGAAGCCGAUGAAGGACGUUACUAACGACGAUAUGCUUUGGGGAGCUGUAAGUAAGCUUUGAUCCAGAGAUUUCCGAAUGGGGAAACCCAGCAUGAGUUAUGUCAUGUUAUCGAUAUGUGAAUACAUAGCAUAUCAGAAGGCACACCCGGAGAACUGAAACAUCUUAGUACCCGGAGGAAGAGAAAGAAAAUUCGAUUCCCUUAGUAGCGGCGAGCGAAACGGGAAGAGCCCAAACCAACAAGCUUGCUUGUUGGGGUUGUAGGACACUCUAUACGGAGUUACAAAGGACGACAUUAGACGAAUCAUCUGGAAAGAUGAAUCAAAGAAGGUAAUAAUCCUGUAGUCGAAAAUGUUGUCUCUCUUGAGUGGAUCCUGAGUACGACGGAGCACGUGAAAUUCCGUCGGAAUCUGGGAGGACCAUCUCCUAAGGCUAAAUACUCUCUAGUGACCGAUAGUGAACCAGUACCGUGAGGGAAAGGUGAAAAGCACCCCGGAAGGGGAGUGAAACAGAACCUGAAACCGUGUGCUUACAAGUAGUCAGAGCCCGUUAAUGGGUGAUGGCGUGCCUUUUGUAGAAUGAACCGGCGAGUUACGAUUUGAUGCAAGGUUAAGCAGUAAAUGUGGAGCCGUAGCGAAAGCGAGUCUGAAUAGGGCGUUUAGUAUUUGGUCGUAGACCCGAAACCAGGUGAUCUACCCUUGGUCAGGUUGAAGUUCAGGUAACACUGAAUGGAGGACCGAACCGACUUACGUUGAAAAGUGAGCGGAUGAACUGAGGGUAGCGGAGAAAUUCCAAUCGAACCUGGAGAUAGCUGGUUCUCUCCGAAAUAGCUUUAGGGCUAGCCUCAAGUGAUGAUUAUUGGAGGUAGAGCACUGUUUGGACGAGGGGCCCCUCUCGGGUUACCGAAUUCAGACAAACUCCGAAUGCCAAUUAAUUUAACUUGGGAGUCAGAACAUGGGUGAUAAGGUCCGUGUUCGAAAGGGAAACAGCCCAGACCACCAGCUAAGGUCCCAAAAUAUAUGUUAAGUGGAAAAGGAUGUGGCGUUGCCCAGACAACUAGGAUGUUGGCUUAGAAGCAGCCAUCAUUUAAAGAGUGCGUAAUAGCUCACUAGUCGAGUGACACUGCGCCGAAAAUGUACCGGGGCUAAACAUAUUACCGAAGCUGUGGAUUGUCCUUUGGACAAUGGUAGGAGAGCGUUCUAAGGGCGUUGAAGCAUGAUCGUAAGGACAUGUGGAGCGCUUAGAAGUGAGAAUGCCGGUGUGAGUAGCGAAAGACGGGUGAGAAUCCCGUCCACCGAUUGACUAAGGUUUCCAGAGGAAGGCUCGUCCGCUCUGGGUUAGUCGGGUCCUAAGCUGAGGCCGACAGGCGUAGGCGAUGGAUAACAGGUUGAUAUUCCUGUACCACCUAUAAUCGUUUUAAUCGAUGGGGGGACGCAGUAGGAUAGGCGAAGCGUGCGAUUGGAUUGCACGUCUAAGCAGUAAGGCUGAGUAUUAGGCAAAUCCGGUACUCAUUAAGGCUGAGCUGUGAUGGGGAGAAGACAUUGUGUCUUCGAGUCGUUGAUUUCACACUGCCGAGAAAAGCCUCUAGAUAGAAAAUAGGUGCCCGUACCGCAAACCGACACAGGUAGUCAAGAUGAGAAUUCUAAGGUGAGCGAGCGAACUCUCGUUAAGGAACUCGGCAAAAUGACCCCGUAACUUCGGGAGAAGGGGUGCUCUUUAGGGUUAACGCCCAGAAGAGCCGCAGUGAAUAGGCCCAAGCGACUGUUUAUCAAAAACACAGGUCUCUGCUAAACCGUAAGGUGAUGUAUAGGGGCUGACGCCUGCCCGGUGCUGGAAGGUUAAGAGGAGUGGUUAGCUUCUGCGAAGCUACGAAUCGAAGCCCCAGUAAACGGCGGCCGUAACUAUAACGGUCCUAAGGUAGCGAAAUUCCUUGUCGGGUAAGUUCCGACCCGCACGAAAGGCGUAACGAUUUGGGCACUGUCUCAACGAGAGACUCGGUGAAAUCAUAGUACCUGUGAAGAUGCAGGUUACCCGCGACAGGACGGAAAGACCCCGUGGAGCUUUACUGUAGCCUGAUAUUGAAAUUCGGCACAGCUUGUACAGGAUAGGUAGGAGCCUUUGAAACGUGAGCGCUAGCUUACGUGGAGGCGCUGGUGGGAUACUACCCUAGCUGUGUUGGCUUUCUAACCCGCACCACUUAUCGUGGUGGGAGACAGUGUCAGGCGGGCAGUUUGACUGGGGCGGUCGCCUCCUAAAAGGUAACGGAGGCGCUCAAAGGUUCCCUCAGAAUGGUUGGAAAUCAUUCAUAGAGUGUAAAGGCAUAAGGGAGCUUGACUGCGAGACCUACAAGUCGAGCAGGGUCGAAAGACGGACUUAGUGAUCCGGUGGUUCCGCAUGGAAGGGCCAUCGCUCAACGGAUAAAAGCUACCCCGGGGAUAACAGGCUUAUCUCCCCCAAGAGUUCACAUCGACGGGGAGGUUUGGCACCUCGAUGUCGGCUCAUCGCAUCCUGGGGCUGUAGUCGGUCCCAAGGGUUGGGCUGUUCGCCCAUUAAAGCGGUACGCGAGCUGGGUUCAGAACGUCGUGAGACAGUUCGGUCCCUAUCCGUCGUGGGCGUAGGAAAUUUGAGAGGAGCUGUCCUUAGUACGAGAGGACCGGGAUGGACAUACCUCUGGUGUACCAGUUGUCGUGCCAACGGCAUAGCUGGGUAGCUAUGUGUGGACGGGAUAAGUGCUGAAAGCAUCUAAGCAUGAAGCCCCCCUCAAGAUGAGAUUUCCCAACUUCGGUUAUAAGAUCCCUCAAAGAUGAUGAGGUUAAUAGGUUCGAGGUGGAAGCAUGGUGACAUGUGGAGCUGACGAAUACUAAUCGAUCGAAGACUUAAUCAA